CCUACGGGUGGCUGCAGUGAGGAAUCUUCGUCAAUGGACGAGAGUCUGAACCAGCCACGCAGCGUGAAGGAUGACUGCCCUAUGGGUUGUAAACUUCUUUUAUAAAGGAAUAAAACGACGCACGUGUGCCUUCUUGCAUGUACUUUAUGUAUCAGGAUCGGCUAACUCCGUGCCAGCAGCCGCGGUAAUACGGAGGAUCCGAGCGUUCUCCGGAUUUAUUGGGUUUAAAGGGAGCGUAGAUGGGUUGUUAAGUCUGUUGUGAAAGUUUGCGGCUCAACCGUAAAAUUGCAUUUGAUACUGGCAGUCUUGAGUACAGAUGAGGUAGGUGGAAGUCGAGGUGUAGCGGUGAAAUGCGUAGAUAUAACGAAGAACCCCAGUGGCGAAGGCAGCUCACUAAACUGUGACUGACAUUGAGGCUCGAAAGUGUGGGGAUCAAACAGGAUUAGAUACCCGUGUAGUC
RNAcentral lists this ribosomal RNA (460 nucleotides) under uncultured bacterium. Its description in RNAcentral is "partial 16S ribosomal RNA". It matches the Rfam family "Bacterial small subunit ribosomal RNA", at positions 338 to 795 of the family's 1533-position model. The record is from RNAcentral.